Molecule: ribosomal RNA, 440 nt
Filed under: uncultured bacterium
Lineage: Bacteria
Description: partial 16S ribosomal RNA
Rfam family: Bacterial small subunit ribosomal RNA
Source: RNAcentral
CCUACGGGGGGCAGCAGUGGGGAAUAUUGCACAAUGGGGGAAACCCUGAUGCAGCGACGCCGCGUGAGUGAAGAAGUAUCUCGGUACGUAAAGCUCUAUCAGCAGGGAAGAAAAUGACGGUACCUGACUAAGAAUCCCCGGCUAAAUACGUGCCAGCAGCCGCGGUAAUACGUAGGGGGCAAGCGGUAUCUGGAUUUACUGGGUGUAAAGGGAGCGUAGGCGGCAGCACAAGUCUGGAGUGAAAUCCCGGGGCUGAACCCCGGAACUGCUUUGGAAACUGUGCGGCUGGAGUGCAGGAGGGGUAGGCGGAAUUCCUAGGGUAGCGGUGAAAUGCGUAGAUAUUAGGAGGAACACCGGUGGCGAAGGCGGCUUACUGGACUGUAACUGACGUUGAGGCUCGAAAGCGUGGGGAGCAAACAGGAUUAGAUACCCUUGUAGUC